This 480-nucleotide long non-coding RNA is filed under the name Helianthus annuus (common sunflower). RNAcentral describes it as "hypothetical non coding rna". The record is from RNAcentral. Lineage: Eukaryota; Viridiplantae; Streptophyta; Magnoliopsida; Asterales; Asteraceae.
GCGGUUUUAGCAGGAGGGAAAUAUUUGUAGAGAAAUUUUUGGGCAAGUUCAUCCUAAGUGUGCACGGACCCACUUGAGAGGGUGUUUAGCCAAGGUUUUGCUUGGUCUUUAAGGGAAAAAGGGAACAUACGGAGCUGGAUAGCAUCGUUGGAGGCUCCGUUGAUCCGGAAUGGGUCACGUAUUUCCAAAAAAUUGGUAAUAUGUAAAUGGUGAUCUUCAUCGGGUAGGCCAUUAAAGGUCGCGAAAUUUUGGAGCAUUUGGAUUAGGAGUGGUCGAAGCUCAAAGUUAUUAGCAUCGACAUUUGGAGGGUUAAUAGCGGCUCCAAGAUUACCGACCAUAUGUCGUAGGUACUCCAUGAGUGUUCGUUGAUCCGCCAUGGGGAGGUUCGUCGAGGGGCACUUUUAUGUCUUUGUCGAAGGUGGAGGUCAUGCACCAGGUUGUAUUUCCUGUGAAUUAGACAGAGUUGCGUGACUUUCUGCG